Molecule: ribosomal RNA, 465 nt
Filed under: Enterobacter hormaechei
Lineage: Bacteria; Pseudomonadati; Pseudomonadota; Gammaproteobacteria; Enterobacterales; Enterobacteriaceae
Description: bacterial SSU rRNA
Rfam family: Bacterial small subunit ribosomal RNA
Source: RNAcentral
CUGGCGGCAGGCCUAACACAUGCAAGUCGAACGGUAACAGGAAGCAGCUUGCUGCUUUGCUGACGAGUGGCGGACGGGUGAGUAAUGUCUGGGAAACUGCCUGAUGGAGGGGGAUAACUACUGGAAACGGUAGCUAAUACCGCAUAACGUCGCAAGACCAAAGAGGGGGACCUUCGGGCCUCUUGCCAUCGGAUGUGCCCAGAUGGGAUUAGCUAGUAGGUGGGGUAACGGCUCACCUAGGCGACGAUCCCUAGCUGGUCUGAGAGGAUGACCAGCCACACUGGAACUGAGACACGGUCCAGACUCCUACGGGAGGCAGCAGUGGGGAAUAUUGCACAAUGGGCGCAAGCCUGAUGCAGCCAUGCCGCGUGUAUGAAGAAGGCCUUUCGGGUUGUAAAGUACUUUGCAGCGGGGAGGAUGGCGAUAAGGUUAAUAACCUUGUCGAUUGACGUUACCCGCAGAAGA